RNAcentral lists this ribosomal RNA (406 nucleotides) under uncultured bacterium. Its description in RNAcentral is "partial 16S ribosomal RNA". It matches the Rfam family "Bacterial small subunit ribosomal RNA", at positions 30 to 526 of the family's 1533-position model. The record is from RNAcentral.
AUUGAACGCUGGCGGCAGGCCUAACACAUGCAAGUCGAACGAGUGGCGGACGGGUGAGUAAUGUCUGGGAAUCUGCCUGGUGGAGGGGGAUAACGUCCGGAAACGGGCGCUAAUACCGCAUACCAUCAGAUGAACCCAUAUCGGAUUAGCUUGUAGGUGGGGUAACGGCUCACCCAGGCGACGAUCCCUAGCUGGUCUGAGAGGAUGAUCAGCCACACUGGAACUGAGACACGGCCCAGACUCCUACGGGAGGCAGCAGUGGGGAAUAUUGGACAAUGGGCGAAAGCCUGAUCCAGCCAUGCCGCGUGUGUGAAGAAGGCCUUCGGAUUGUAAAGUACUUUCAGUUGGGAGGCGUUACCAACAGAAUAAGCACCGGCUAACUCCGUGCCAGCAGCCGCGGUAAUAC